This 1949-nucleotide long non-coding RNA is filed under the name Oryctolagus cuniculus (rabbit). RNAcentral's name for it is "lncRNA (ENSOCUG00000036593.1)". The record is from RNAcentral. Lineage: Eukaryota; Metazoa; Chordata; Mammalia; Lagomorpha; Leporidae.
UGAUGUAGCAGGGGCUGAAGGCCACUCGCAGAGUGACUCUCUCCUGCUCUCAGCAGAAGGCGCAUCCCUUUAGAAGCAACUCGAACAGAUGAGCUGUAGGUCAGAGGCGAUGUGGAAGGGAAUUUUAUUUAGAGUCUGGUGUCACUUUCCACGCGAUUACUUCAGCUCUGUCACUUGGGUCACCAUAAAACCUUCUGCUGAUUUACUCUGGCCUUGCCUCAUAAAGGAAUCUCUCUAAUUCUCAGCCGGGACCAUCCACUAGGAUGACAAAUAGCAUCGAUCAUUAAAAAUGACAUCUGUAAUUUUGCAGCCAGAGAAGACGAUUUUUUAAAGCUGUCAGUGAAACAAAGAGGAUUUUAGGAGAUGCUGAUGCGAUCUGAAAAUCUUCGGGAAUUCUAAAGCGUGAAGAUGAGCUGUCAGCUUUGGAAUGGCAGGAUGAAUCCUGUGCUAAGGCUCACCCCAUGCAGACCCAUUGUAUCACCAGUGUAGCACUGAAGGACAGCAAAACUGCUGAAUUGUCAGCCUGUCAACCUCCAAAGCUCUGCAAAAAACCAAGUUGGAGAAGAAAAGAAAUUCGAUGUCCAUUUUCCAAAAAGGAGGUAGAAGGAAGAGGAAAGGAGUGAGACUAUUUCAUGUCCUUCUCUCCCCAGUGGCAGGAAGUUCAUUAGUCUAAACAAGAAGAGGCUCAGCACACCAAAACUAAUGAACGCACUUGCUCUCUCCCAGUAGGCGAUAGGAAUCCUGCAAACAGCUGCAACUGCAGAAGAGCGAGAGCUGAGGGGUGCUGAGGUCCCUAGUCCCCAGCCAGGGCCGGUGUGGGCGAGUGAUGGUGCCUCGGAGGUGCAGGUCUGUGUUUGCAGUCUACAUAUCUGAGUCAAUGGACACAAUGCCUAUAUCCACACAAGAUCUGCUUCCCCACGCCAAUCCCAAAGAUGCUUUUUAUUUAUUCCUUUGGUUAUAUUCUGGAGAAAACUAACUGCAACAGUGAUUGCAUGAGAGUCUGCAAAACUGGUGACCUACAUUGUGAGCUACAUUCAUUUCCUGGAAAUCCUUCCCUGUUUUGUAACCUGGCUUGAUGUUUUCUUCCGCUGUUCUUGGUCUGCAUGGAAGUGUGGGCUUGCUGCUGGCCCCCCACCACCCCUGGGAUACUCUGGGAGGUUGCAGUCGAUAUGUCAGACUCUGAGGUGAAAGUCAAUGCUAAGAAAUAGAAUGCUUUUCCUAUGCCAUUGCUUGCUGACUUGGCAUUUAGUGUGAAUACCUCCAAGAUACCUCUUCCAUAAUUACUAGGCAUGAUUCUAUUUUCAGUGCAAUCGCUGAGAGGGUGUAAUUGGAAACCACAGAGGUAGAUUAUUUUCUCCUUCUUUAAGGGGCUUUUUGCUAUCAUCAUAUAAUCUUUUCCUCCCACUCACUCCUACCAGGUGUCUCUCUUGCUGGAGUAGAAUAUGCACUGGUUCUGAGACACUUCCUGUGUAGGGGUUAUACUCCUUGAAAUCUGCAAGAGUGAUGAAACUGUGUUGAGCAGAAUAUAAAUGUUCUACUCUGCUUGACUAUACUCCGUCCAGUUUACUUCCUGAUUAUGGGUCUCUGACCUCCCUUUUCUUAGAGUAUGUUCUUUAGAAACAUAACUGUAAAUUAUUUCUCUGUCCCCUUGAGAUGUAAUUAUUCAACCCACCCAUGUUUUCCUCAAAGACUGAGGGGCCAUCCCUUGAAAUACAGUUAUGCAGGUAGCACCCCUGUCUCCCAGUCCCUGGGUUGGUAAGGAGACUAAUUUCAAUAAGCUCCAGUUAGCAGACACUGAUGGCCGAAUGAUGCCGACGAGCGGAGGUUUGCACUGUCCUACCCCAGUGCUUGAAAACUCUUGUUUUAAGAGUUGAAUUCACUCUCUCUCCUCUGUUGCAAUAGUCUAGGCCUUAUUGCAAUAAUCUUAAAUAAAAUCUUACUUGCCUCCA